GAUGAAGAACGUAGCGAAAUGCGAUAAGUAAUGUGAAUUGCAGAAUUCAGUGAAUCAUCGAAUCUUUGAACGCACAUUGCGCCCCCUGGCAUUCCGAAGGGUAUGCUCGUUUGAGUGUCAUUGUACUCUCACACUUCCAAUCUUUGGAUUGGGAGCAGUGGACUUGGGUGUUGCUGCUUACUGUGGCUCACCUCAAAUCGAUUCGUGCACCUCUUGGUUGGACAUAGUACGGCGUGAUAAGUGUCUUCGCCGGCACCUCAGUAGAGGGUGGCUGAUCAGGAGCUCUGUGCUUCAAACCGUCCUCGGACAAAAACUGACAACUUGACCUCAAAUCGAGUAGGACUACCCGCUGAACUUAAGCAUAUCAAUAAGCGGAGGA
Molecule: unclassified non-coding RNA, 379 nt
Filed under: soil metagenome
Description: partial contains 5.8S ribosomal RNA, internal transcribed spacer 2, and large subunit ribosomal RNA
Rfam family: 5.8S ribosomal RNA (bases 1-120)
Source: RNAcentral